CGUGAACCUUUACUAUAGCUUGACACUGAACAUUGAGCCUUGAUGUGUAGGAUAGGUGGGAGGCUUUGAAGUGUGGACGCCAGUCUGCAUGGAGCCGACCUUGAAAUACCACCCUUUAAUGUUUGAUGUUCUAACGUUGACCCGUGAUCCGGGUUGCGGACAGUGUCUGGUGGGUAGUUUGACUGGGGCGGUCUCCUCCUAAAGAGUAACGGAGGAGCACGAAGGUUGGCUAAUCCUGGUCGGAC
This 245-nucleotide ribosomal RNA is filed under the name Escherichia coli. RNAcentral's name for it is "partial 23S ribosomal RNA". It matches the Rfam family "Bacterial large subunit ribosomal RNA", at positions 2092 to 2336 of the family's 2925-position model. Lineage: Bacteria; Pseudomonadati; Pseudomonadota; Gammaproteobacteria; Enterobacterales; Enterobacteriaceae. The record is from RNAcentral.